GGAGGCUGGCGACGGGCGCGUCCUUCGCCAAUCGGGUCAGGUCCGGAAGGAAGCAGCCCCAACGAAUUCGGCGCGGGUCGUCGUCCAGUCUCCUUCU
RNAcentral lists this signal recognition particle RNA (97 nucleotides) under Afifella marina DSM 2698. RNAcentral describes it as "Bacterial small signal recognition particle RNA". It matches the Rfam family "Bacterial small signal recognition particle RNA". Rfam says of the family: The signal recognition particle (SRP) is a universally conserved ribonucleoprotein involved in the co-translational targeting of proteins to membranes. Archaeal SRP consists of a 7S RNA and homologues of the eukaryotic SRP19 and SRP54 proteins. Lineage: Bacteria; Pseudomonadati; Pseudomonadota; Alphaproteobacteria; Hyphomicrobiales; Afifellaceae. The record is from RNAcentral.